GUUUAAAAAUUCUUAUUUCAUUUUUACUUGAUUAAUGUUCAAAUCUGAAUUAAUAACAAUAAAGCUACAAAUAAAAGAUUUUUAGUCUUAAAAAACAACAGAUCCUGUUUGGGCCCCUCCCUUAUUAGCAAGAAACACUGCCCCAAGAUCACCUGACAUCACUUAUUGACUCAAAUCACUUUUAGGAAAAUGCUGUCCUGUAUCAAGAAGCCUAUAUGUGUAAAUAAUAUACAGGUUUCUUAAAAUACAGUAUCAAACAAAUAGUUCAAUCUUUUCUUUUUUAUUGAUCAUCUGUAAAUUGUAUAAGAAUGGAAAUAAUGAUUUUUUAAAUAUAUUUUUUUAAAGUAAAAAAGUUAUAUCUUUCUGAAAGCAUAAUAUUCAAACCAUAGACUUGUAUAUACUAUAUCUAGACUGGGCAUGGAGAUUUUUUAACACUACAAAAAAUGUAGUGAAAUUUUUUUAGAAAGUUGGAUCAAGGCAUU
Biomphalaria pfeifferi is the source of this 482-nucleotide non-coding RNA. The record is from the annotation of a GenBank genome assembly. NCBI's taxonomy places the organism in Eukaryota, Metazoa, Mollusca, Gastropoda, Planorbidae.